RNA transcript from Panicum virgatum (switchgrass), 1735 nucleotides. RefSeq lists it as uncharacterized. The transcript is spliced from 7 exons. The record is from RefSeq and is a predicted model, not a curated record. Lineage: Eukaryota; Viridiplantae; Streptophyta; Magnoliopsida; Poales; Poaceae.
CCUCCCUCUCCGGCGCCGUCGCCGCUGUCACCCCCGCUCGCCCCUCUCUCUCCCUCCACACUCGCUGCCGCCGUCACCCUCGCUCGCACCUCCCCGUCGCCCUGCUCUCGCCUUCGCCAUGCCCCCCGUGCGACGCUCCGGCCGCUCUCGCUUCCCCCUCGCGCUCGCCGACGCCGCCGCGUCCCCCUCGCGCGUGCCGGCGCCCCAUCUCGCCCAGGCCUACGCGACACCCCGUUGGAACUGCCCGGAGUCCGGCGCGCUGCCUCCCCAUCUCACGGCACUUCACGGUGCCGAUGAGUUUGGCCGUCGUCCACCAACUCCUCUGAUCUGAAUUCGGUUUUUGUUCCUCUUCUCCCCUCCACUCCACGAUGCAGCGCGUGCUGGAGAUAGCGUGGAUUUAGACGCCGACGAGGCCAGGCACCCCGCGUCGAUGACGGCGACGACAAGUUUGGCCGCCACAUCCCUCCGUCUUGCACAAGGUCGUCUGAUCUGAGUACAACUGCCACUCUUCAUCAACCUCUGCGCAAGGCUGUCCUGAUCUUCUUGGUGACGUUGCGGGUUGGGACGCGGAGCUGGAGCCCUACUUUUCUGCUUCCACUCCAUCGAGGGCGCCAUCACCAGCUUAAAUCCUUUUUACAAUGACAUGAUCUUCCUGAGACACAAAUAUAUGCGAAGAUCGAAAAUUCUGAGGGUUUGGAUCAUUUCAAUGAAAUUUUCCAAGAGGCUCAUGGCAUCAUUAUUUCUCGAGGAGACCUGGGAAUUGACCUUCCACCAGAAAAUUUCAAGUUGUAGAACCAUCCACAUUAUUUGACUAAUCGGUUAUCUUCUUGGCUGAGACUGUGUAUAACCAGCCACUUAAUUCAAGAAAGUAAUGUGGCAUAUUGGCCACCUGAUGCCCCAUGUAUGAGGAAUCUAUGGCCUCAGCAGCGGUUGGUUCUGUGAUUGAAGUAAAAGCUGCUGCAACUGUUGUGUUCACAUUCUUAGGGAGAGCUGCUAGGUGCCCUAUAUCUUCUCUGAGAUCAGCACCUCUCUAGACAAGUUCACGUCAUAUGAAGCAAUUGAAUAAUUUCAUGCUUAUCGUUGUGCAGGCAAGGCAAUGUUUUCAUCAGAGCUACGUGUAAAAGACAUAGAACUUACCAGGCUGAGGAUCAUAUGCAAGGAUCAUUGCUAGCCAGUGCUGCACAUUUCAUUAGCUUCAUGUUCACGAAAAUACUUCUGUAGCUGAUGUAUUGGUAGCAUUGCUCGAAACAAAAUAGAUUCAAUUUUUCAGUAUCAACUAUAUGUGUUUGUCUAACUGCAUGAAAUUGAGUCCUUAGAUGCAACUAUUUUUUUAGAGUUAUAUCUGCAAUGAUAAAAGUUAAACAUACUUUAGCUACAUUCUGAUAAUUUUAUGAUUCGCAAUGAAACUUUGGUUUGCUACAUGCUGUUGUUGCACCCUUUCCAUUAUUACAGAUUAUUUGAUGCUUAAAAAUGUUAUUCAUUCUUUUCAGGGGACUAGGCCAUUUCGAAUGGAGCAAUCAGGUGAUGGGACCUUCUUGAAGUCACCCUUUGCUGAUCAAGUGACGGGAUCGUUUUGAAGUCACUCUACUAUGUGUUCAAACAAUGUCCUGUUGAAAACUUAUUAGUAUUUCAGUAAUGAUCGUGUGUCAUGGAAUUUAUCAGUGAAUGGUUGAAUGUUGUUUCAUGAAUUAUAAAUGCAUAAUUAUUAUAUGAUCCUGUAUUUUCAUGUUUUAAA